UCUAAUAUAGCAGAAAUGUAUGCAUUGAACUUAAAAUUCAAUUAUAAAGAAUAAUCUUUUUUUAGA
Molecule: transfer RNA, 66 nt
Filed under: Glyphinaphis bambusae
Lineage: Eukaryota; Metazoa; Arthropoda; Insecta; Hemiptera; Hormaphididae
Description: tRNA-Leu
Rfam family: tRNA
About the family: Transfer RNA (tRNA) molecules are approximately 80 nucleotides in length.
Source: RNAcentral